This 497-nucleotide ribosomal RNA is filed under the name uncultured bacterium. RNAcentral describes it as "partial 16S ribosomal RNA". It matches the Rfam family "Bacterial small subunit ribosomal RNA", at positions 28 to 507 of the family's 1533-position model. The record is from RNAcentral.
GAUGAACGCUGGCGGCGUGCCUAAUACAUGCAAGUCGAGCGAACAGACGAGGAGCUUGCUCCUCUGACGUUAGCGGCGGACGGGUGAGUAACACGUGGAUAACCUACCUAUAAGACUGGGAUAACUUCGGGAAACCGGAGCUAAUACCGGAUAAUAUAUUGAACCGCAUGGUUCAAUAGUGAAAGACGGUUUUGCUGUCACUUAUAGAUGGAUCCGCGCCGCAUUAGCUAGUUGGUAAGGUAACGGCUUACCAAGGCAACGAUGCGUAGCCGACCUGAGAGGGUGGUCGGCCACACUGGAGCUGAGACACGGUCCAGACUCCUACGGGAGGCAGCAGUAGGGAAUCUUCCGCAAUGGGCGAAAGCCUGACGGAGCAACGCCGCGUGAGUGAUGAAGGUCUUCGGAUCGUAAAACUCUGUUAUUAGGGAAGAACAGAUGUGGAAGUAACUAUGCACGUCUUGACGGUACCUAAUCAGAAAGCCACGGCUAACUACGUG